GAUGAGUUGUGAAAUGUUUGUUGAACUGGGUUAGUUGACUAAGGAAGAAGAGGCAACCAGGGCCCCACUCACUAAGGGAGGUGCCUCCCCAAACGUGCUGUCUGAAACCCCUCUUAAGGGCGGUCUUCUGUGUCAGGACCAGCCACCCAAAGUGGGGAAUGUCUUGAAAUGUCAACUUUUACCUGAACAAUUUGAAGCUGGCACACCGGACCAAGGUGAUGAUCAACGGGGGAGAAGACUGGAAAUCUGGUGUGGAUGAGGUGGUAGAAGACCUCUUAGGCACCCCACUUGAAGCCACUGGUCUAGCCCAGCUUUCCAGAGUACUCCUUUGGGGUUUGGUGUCCAUGUCAGCUGGACAAUAAAAUAUUAACUAAU
Molecule: long non-coding RNA, 375 nt
Organism: Lutra lutra (Eurasian river otter)
Lineage: Eukaryota; Metazoa; Chordata; Mammalia; Carnivora; Mustelidae
Exons: 2
Source: RefSeq, a predicted model, not a curated record